UGCAGCUCCGGACGCACCAGUGGACUUUUAACCGUUUGGAAGAGACACAAAGAUCUCUACUGCGAGGGGAAGGAGCAGAGAGGAGAGAGGAGCUGGAGGAUGAGGAGCAGGAGAGUCACCAGAUGAAUGAAUGAAUCCUGGACAGAGGAUCCACUUUAGAAACUUGAGAUCACCCGCCUACCAGUUUGUAUUAACAACCCCUCCGUGUGCAGUAUCUUCAGUACACGCUUUCCUCCAGAGCUGUGGAGUGUGACAAUGGUGUUUGUGUCCUGUGAAUCAAACGCCAUUAUCACACUAAAUAGCUCCAGUGUGAAACAGACCUCAUGAUAGUCCUCAGUUUCCUGGUGUCCACCUUCUUGUUUGUUUUGUGUCUCGUGCAUUAGUUGUUAUAGUUUCCUCAUUACAUCACAUUACAUUUGGCUGGCGAUUGUAUCCAAAGCGACUUACAAUAAAUGCAAAAACCAUUGAGAUUCCAGCUCCGAACAACAAGGAGAGUGCAGAUAUAUUCAUAGUCUUUGUGAGUGCUGGUGAAUUGGGUACAAGGCCUAAGCUAACUCUUUAAAGUGCUUUUAUUUUUAAAGAGUUCUUGCUGUACAGCCUGAAACACAUAGGGGACACACUACGCUGUGUUGCAGUGUUGAUACGGCGUGCAUGAUGUUGAGCCUCUGAGUGUGACCCACUUACUUUGUGUUCGAGGUGCUAACUUGAGACGUCUCCUGUGAGGAUAAAUGAAAAUAGACGUGCCAUUUGUUUUCAUGCUGCCGCCAUUCCUUGUGUUGUGUCAAACUUUAAAAAAAGAAAAACGGUUAUGAUAUAAAGUACUUUUGUAAAUUGCCUGUUAAUAUAUUUUGAUAGACAAAGAAACACCUUCAAACCCAGCCCGAUGUUCAAUUACAAGCAGGCAUUUGCAUACAGUGUCCAAAUCCUGAUCUCUUCAAACCUGAAAUGUGAUUUGAUCAAGAAAAUUAGAAAGCAUUUUCAACCAGUAACAUGUCUUUAAUAAAACAGAUCUAUUGUGUGCUUACAUAUUUACCAUAACCUGAGAACUAUGUCAGCAACUUAGGUCAGAAAUAUAAAAGACAACAGUGAGGGUUUGACAGAGAGGGGUAUCAUAAGAAGACUGCCUUUACAAAGCUGCUAUGGUGUUGAAAUGUGGCUCUAGAUGUCAGGUUUAGGAUUCAUUUGAAGCCGUUCACUUGAUCUGAAAUAGAUUAUAGAUCCUUGAAGGAUGUCAGACAUACAAAUACAAGUAACAGUCAGAACUGCAUACAAUGAUAUAUAAAUAAAUCUCUCAACCAUA
Long non-coding RNA from Trematomus bernacchii (emerald rockcod), 1300 nucleotides. RefSeq lists it as uncharacterized. The transcript is spliced from 2 exons. Lineage: Eukaryota; Metazoa; Chordata; Actinopteri; Perciformes; Nototheniidae. The record is from RefSeq and is a predicted model, not a curated record.